ACGCACGCUGGCGGCGUGCUUCACACAUGCCAGUCGCACGGAAAGGCCCUGCUUUUGUGGGGUGCUCGAGUGGCGAACGGGUGGGUAACACGUGAGUAACCUGCCCUUGACUUUGGGAUAACUUCAGGAAACUGGGGCUAAUACCGGAUAGGAGCUCCUGCUGCAUGGUGGGGGUUGGAAAGUUUCGGCGGUUGGGGAUGGACUCGCGGCUUAUCAGCUUGUUGGUGGGGUAGUGGCUUACCAAGGCUUUGACGGGUAGCCGGCCUGAGAGGGUGACCGGCCACAUUGGGACUGAGAUACGGCCCAGACUCCUACGGGAGGCAGCAGUGGGGAAUAUUGCACAAUGGGCGGAAGCCUGAUGCAGCAACGCCGCGUGCGGGAUGACGGCCUUCGGGUUGUAAACCGCUUUCGCCUGUGACGAAGCGUGAGUGACGGUAAUGGGUAAAGAAGCACCGGCUAACUACGUG
This 467-nucleotide ribosomal RNA is filed under the name uncultured bacterium. RNAcentral's name for it is "partial 16S ribosomal RNA". It matches the Rfam family "Bacterial small subunit ribosomal RNA", at positions 29 to 507 of the family's 1533-position model. The record is from RNAcentral.